UAGCUAGUUGGUGAGGUAAAGGCUUACCAAGGCGACGAUCUGUAGCGGGUCUGAGAGGAUGAUCCGCCACACUGGAACUGAGACACGGUCCAGACUCCUACGGGAGGCAGCAGUGGGGAAUUUUGGACAAUGGGGGCAACCCUGAUCCAGCCAUGCCGCGUGAGUGAAGAAGGCCUUCGGGUUGUAAAGCUCUUUCGGCCGGGAAGAAAUCGCAUGGGCCAAUACCCUGUGUGGAUGACGGUACCGGAAUAAGAAGCACCGGCUAACUACGUGCCAGCAGCCGCGGUAAUACGUAGGGUGCGAGCGUUAAUCGGAAUUACUGGGCGUAAAGCGUGCGCAGGCGGUUUUGUAAGACAGGCGUGAAAUCCCCGGGCUUAACCUGGGAACUGCGUUUGUGACUGCAAGGCUAGAGUACGGCAGAGGGGGGUGGAAUUCCACGUGUAGCAGUGAAAUGCGUAGAGAUGUGGAGGAACACCAAUGGCGAAGGCAGCCCCCUGGGUCGAUACUGACGCUCAUGCACGAAAGCGUGGGUAGCAAACAGGAUUAGAUACCCUGGUAGUCCACGCCCUAAACUAUGUCAACUAGGUGUUGGGUGGGUAAAACCAUUUAGUACCGUAGCUAACGCGUGAAGUUGACCGCCUGGGGAGUACGGCCGCAAGGUUAAAACUCAAAGGAAUUGACGGGGACCCGCACAAGCGGUGGAUGAUGUGGAUUAAUUCGAUGCAACGCGAAAAACCUUACCUACCCUUGACAUGCCAGGAACUUGCCAGAGAUGGCUUGGUGCCCGAAAGGGAGCCUGGACACAGGUGCUGCAUGGCUGUCGUCAGCUCGUGUCGUGAGAUGUUGGGUUAAGUCCCGCAACGAGCGCAACCCUUGUCGUUAAUUGCCAUCAUUUGGUUGGGCACUUUAACGAGACUGCCGGUGACAAACCGGAGGAAGGUGGGGAUGACGUCAAGUCCUCAUGGCCCUUAUGGGUAGGGCUUCACACGUCAUACAAUGGUCGGUACAAAGGGUUGCCAAGCCGCGAGGCGGAGCCAAUCCCAGAAAGCCGAUCGUAGUCCGGAUUGCAGGCUGCAACUCGCCUGCAUGAAGUCGGAAUCGCUAGUAAUCGUGGAUCAGCAUGUCACGGUGAAUACGUUCCCGGGUCUUGUACACACCGCCCGUCACACCAUGGGAGCGGGUUCCGCCAGAAGUAGGUAGCCUAACCGCAAGGAGGGCGCUUACCACGGCGGGGUUCGUGACUGGGGUGAAGUCGGAACAAGGUAGCCGUAGGGGAACCUGCGGCUG
Molecule: ribosomal RNA, 1287 nt
Filed under: metagenome
Description: bacterial SSU rRNA
Rfam family: Bacterial small subunit ribosomal RNA
Source: RNAcentral